ACACGCGCCCAUCCCCCCACAUCUCACGGUCGGAGUCAGUUUCACAGAGCAGCGCAGGAGGACGACAGACACAUAAAGAACAUUAACAGUUUAGCACAAAUGUUUCCCGUGGAAGUUUGAAUCUCUCUCAGUCAGGGGGGAGAUUGACUGACAGACUGUCUACUCGCCACCAAACAGUAAUUUACCCUGAAACCUUUUACAGUAAGGACUAACGUUAACUGACUGUCUGUCUGCUCUCAACCAAACAGUCAUUCAGGACCUUGUAAAGUUUAGCGCAAACGUUUCCUGCGCAAGUUUGAAUCUCUCAGUCAGGGGGGAGAUUGACUGACAGACUGUCUACUUGCCACCAGUCAGUUACACAGAAACCUUUUAAAGUUUAGCACAAACGUUUCCCGCGCAAGUUUGGAUCUUUACCAUUGAGGGUGGCUGACUGUUCUCUACCAACCAUCAUUCACACGCAAAAACUUUAAAGAUAAGUAUGAACGUGCCCAGAGCAGUUUUCGAUCUUUACCAUUAAGGUGGCUGACUGACUAUCCUCUACCACCCGUCAUUAACACAACAAAAACUAAAGAAAUGUAACUCCAUAUGGACCUAUUCAUUUACUCAUUAUGCUGUGAGUACACCACAGUUUUAUCAGGGAAAAAAUGUAUAUUUGUGUGUUUCUCACUGCUUGGCAAGGACAGAUGUGGCCCUGUUAAAAAUGUUUAAAUGUCGUUUGGUUUAAGGAACAGCACACUGAUUUUGUUUUAAAAUAUUCCUGUUUGGACAGUCUGUUAAAGUCAUAAAGCAGGGCCGGGGA
Molecule: long non-coding RNA, 799 nt
Organism: Paramisgurnus dabryanus
Lineage: Eukaryota; Metazoa; Chordata; Actinopteri; Cypriniformes; Cobitidae
Source: RefSeq, a predicted model, not a curated record